This 290-nucleotide unclassified non-coding RNA is filed under the name uncultured fungus. RNAcentral describes it as "partial contains 5.8S ribosomal RNA, internal transcribed spacer 2, and large subunit ribosomal RNA". The stretch from base 1 to 52 matches the Rfam family "5.8S ribosomal RNA", at positions 103 to 154 of the family's 154-position model. RNAcentral also lists the same sequence under 1 other name. Lineage: Eukaryota; Fungi. The record is from RNAcentral.
AACGCACCUUGCGCUCCUUGGUAUUCCGAGGAGCAUGCCUGUUUGAGUGUCAUGGUAUUCUCAAUUCCCUCAACCUUUGUUGGAUGGGGUGAUAUUGGACUUGGAGGCUUUUGCUGGCAUCUUAGUGAAGUCAGCUCCUCUUAAAUGCAUCAGUGUGAGUCCCACUUCAUGCUCAGUGUGAUAAUUAUCUGCACUGUUUUUGGGUGUGGCAACUUCAUGCUUCCAACUGUCGCAAGACAAACCUUUUGACAUCUGACCUCAAAUCAGGUAGGACUACCCGCUGAACUUAA